CCUACGGGAGGCAGCAGUGGGGAAUAUUGGACAAUGGGCGAAAGCCUGAUCCAGCCAUGCCGCGUGUGUGAAGAAGGCCUUCGGGUUGUAAAGCACUUUCAGUGGGGAAGAAAGCCUUGGGGCUAAUACCCUCGAGGAAGGACAUCACCCACAGAAGAAGCACCGGCUAACUCCGUGCCACGCAGCCGCGGUAAUACGGAGGGUGCGAGCGUUAAUCGGAAUUACUGGGCGUAAAGCGCGCGUAGGCGGUCUGAUAAGCCGGUUGUGAAAGCCCCGGGCUCAACCUGGGAACGGCAUCCGGAACUGUCCGGCUAGAGUGCAGGAGAGGAAGGUAGAAUUCCCGGUGUAGCGGUGAAAUGCGUAGAGAUCGGGAGGAAUACCAGUGGCGAAGGCGGCCUUCUGGACUGACACUGACGCUGAGGUGCGAAAGCGUGGGUAGCAAACAGGAUUAGAUACCCCGGUAGUC
This 466-nucleotide ribosomal RNA is filed under the name Vreelandella stevensii. RNAcentral's name for it is "partial 16S ribosomal RNA". It matches the Rfam family "Bacterial small subunit ribosomal RNA", at positions 338 to 795 of the family's 1533-position model. The record is from RNAcentral. Lineage: Bacteria; Pseudomonadati; Pseudomonadota; Gammaproteobacteria; Oceanospirillales; Halomonadaceae.